UACGUAGGGUGCGAGCGUUGUCCGGAAUUAUUGGGCGUAAAGAGCUUGUAGGCGGUUUGUCGCGUCUGCUGUGAAAAUCCGGGGCUCAACCCCGGACUUGCAGUGGGUACGGGCAGACUAGAGUGUGGUAGGGGAGACUGGAAUUCCUGGUGUAGCGGUGAAAUGCGCAGAUAUCAGGAGGAACACCGGUGGCGAAGGCGGUUCUCUGGGCAUUAACUGACGCUGAGGAGCGAAAGCAUGGGGAGCGAACAGG
RNAcentral lists this ribosomal RNA (253 nucleotides) under uncultured bacterium. Its description in RNAcentral is "partial 16S ribosomal RNA". It matches the Rfam family "Bacterial small subunit ribosomal RNA", at positions 524 to 776 of the family's 1533-position model. The record is from RNAcentral.